GAAAGACAUCAGCGCCGACGUCGGAGAGCCUCUAAAGUUUGCACAUCCACAUUGCCUUUAUCUCCAUCUUCCCUUCACUUUCUUUCUCUUCUUCUCCUUUCCCUUCUCAGAUCCGACCUGACAUGGCUCCUCCACCACCAAAGCGACUGACCACGACCACUACAAGCCCAAUUAGAGCCACCGAUUGUUCCACAAUCUCCGCCCAUCUCGUUCUCUCUCUCCUCUCCCACGGGUCUCUCUCUCAUACCCGUCAAUCCAUUCGUUUCUCCCUCUCCCCUUCAGGCCAGAGUACAGCUCGUCUCUCCUCUCUUUUUCUAUCACCACCACCGAACUCUCUCUUCCUCUCACCACCACCGCUUCCCUUUAAUAUCACAACCAAUUCUUUGUUUCCUAAUGAUCUACAUGUGGUGGUGCUGGUGAUCUUUCUUCCUCCAUGACGUCUCCUCCAUCUCCUCUUUCCUUUCCUUUUCUCUUCCUUUCUCUUCUCCGAUGUAGUUUGGCUCUUUCUCUAUGAUGGAUCUGUUGGCCACAUCUUAACCCUUUCUUUCCUUUGAUGGCUCGGGUCUGGCUCACAAACUCACCACAAUCUCUUUCUUCUCCACCACGUCUCAUGACGAUGGCUCAAGAUGGAGGCAGCAACAAGAUGCA
This 648-nucleotide long non-coding RNA is filed under the name Arabidopsis lyrata. Its description in RNAcentral is "long non-coding RNA (ALYR_LNC003147)". Lineage: Eukaryota; Viridiplantae; Streptophyta; Magnoliopsida; Brassicales; Brassicaceae. The record is from RNAcentral.